Molecule: unclassified non-coding RNA, 204 nt
Filed under: Hevea brasiliensis (rubber tree)
Lineage: Eukaryota; Viridiplantae; Streptophyta; Magnoliopsida; Malpighiales; Euphorbiaceae
Source: RNAcentral
UUAAAACAAAAAUUAUAAAAAAAAGAGAGAAAGUUUCCAUUACGUUGAAAAGGCGUCGCCUCUUCAACCCAUCACUUCUCGCCUCAAAGGUCUCAGGCGCGCGUCUUUUCUCAUUUGCCUCGCCUCAGCCAAGCUUAGGGCCUCGACUCGCCUCGCCUGAGGCUUUUUUGCUCCUUUUAUAACAUUGUUUGAAAUAGAUAGAAA